RNAcentral lists this ribosomal RNA (1464 nucleotides) under uncultured bacterium. Its description in RNAcentral is "bacterial SSU rRNA". It matches the Rfam family "Bacterial small subunit ribosomal RNA". The record is from RNAcentral.
AUUGAACGCUGGCGGCAGGCCUAACACAUGCAAGUCGAACGGUAGCACAGAGGAGCUUGCUCCUUGGGUGACGAGUGGCGGACGGGUGAGUAAUGUCUGGGAAACUGCCCGAUGGAGGGGGAUAACUACUGGAAACGGUAGCUAAUACCGCAUAACGUCGCAAGACCAAAGAGGGGGACCUUCGGGCCUCUUGCCAUCGGAUGUGCCCAGAUGGGAUUAGCUAGUAGGUGGGGUAACGGCUCACCUAGGCGACGAUCCCUAGCUGGUCUGAGAGGAUGACCAGUCACACUGGAACUGAGACACGGUCCAGACUCCUACGGGAGGCAGCAGUGGGGAAUAUUGCACAAUGGGCGCAAGCCUGAUGCAGCCAUGCCGCGUGUAUGAAGAAGGCCUUCGGGUUGUAAAGUACUUUCAGCGAGGAGGAAGGUGUUGUGGUUAAUAACCGCAGCAAUUGACGUUACUCGCAGAAGAAGCACCGGCUAACUCCGUGCCAGCAGCCGCGGUAACACGGAGGGUGCAAGCGUUAAUCGGAAUUACUGGGCGUAAAGCGCACGCAAGCGGUCUGUCAAGUCGGAUGUGAAAUCCCCGGGCUCAACCUGGGAACUGCAUCCGAAACUGGCAGGCUAGAGUCUUGUAGAGGGGGGUAGAAUUCCAGGUGUAGCGGUGAAAUGCGUAGAGAUCUGGAGGAAUACCGGUGGCGAAGGCGGCCCCCUGGACAAAGACUGACGCUCAGGUGCGAAAGCGUGGGGAGCAAACAGGAUUAGAUACCCUGGUAGUCCACGCCGUAAACGAUGUCGACUUGGAGGUUGUGCCCUUGAGGCGUGGCUUCCGGAGCUAACGCGUUAAGUCGACCGCCUGGGGAGUACGGCCGCAAGGUUAAAACUCAAAUGAAUUGACGGGGGCCCGCACAAGCGGUGGAGCAUGUGGUUUAAUUCGAUGCAACGCGAAGAACCUUACCUACUCUUGACAUCCAGAGAACUUAGCAGAGAUGCUUUGGUGCCUUCGGGAACUCUGAGACAGAUGCUGCAUGGCUGUCGUCAGCUCGUGUUGUGAAAUGUUGGGUUAAGUCCCGCAACGAGCGCAACCCUUAUCCUUUGUUGCCAGCGAUUCGGUCGGGAACUCAAAGGAGACUGCCAGUGAUAAACUGGAGGAAGGUGGGGAUGACGUCAAGUCAUCAUGGCCCUUACGAGUAGGGCUACACACGUGCUACAAUGGCAUAUACAAAGAGAAGCGACCUCGCGAGAGCAAGCGGACCUCAUAAAGUAUGUCGUAGUCCGGAUUGGAGUCUGCAACUCGACUCCAUGAAGUCGGAAUCGCUAGUAAUCGUGGAUCAGAAUGCCACGGUGAAUACGUUCCCGGGCCUUGUACACACCGCCCGUCACACCAUGGGAGUGGGUUGCAAAAGAAGUAGGUAGCUUAACCUUCGGGAGGGCGCUUACCACUUUGUGAUUCAUGACUGGGGUG